UGAGGAAUAUUGGUCAAUGGGCGAGAGCCUGAACCAGCCAAGUAGCGUGCAGGAAGACGGCCCUAUGGGUUGUAAACUGCUUUUAUGUGGGGAUAAAGUGCGUGACGUGUCAUGCAUUGCAGGUACCACAUGAAUAAGGACCGACUAAUUCCGUGCCAGCAGCCGCGGUAAUACGGAAGGUCCGGGCGUUAUCCGGAUUUAUUGGGUUUAAAGGGAGCGUAGGCUGUCUAUUAAGCGUGUUGUGAAAUAUACCGGCUCAACCGGUGGCUUGCAGCGCGAACUGGUCGACUUGAGUAUGCAGGAAGUAGGCGGAAUUCAUGGUGUAGCGGUGAAAUGCUUAGAUAUCAUGACGAACUCCGAUUGCGCAGGCAGCUUACUGUAGCAUAACUGACGCUGAUGCUCGAAAGUGCGGGUAUCAAACAGG
This 424-nucleotide ribosomal RNA is filed under the name Verrucomicrobiota bacterium. Its description in RNAcentral is "Verrucomicrobia bacterium partial 16S ribosomal RNA". It matches the Rfam family "Bacterial small subunit ribosomal RNA", at positions 355 to 776 of the family's 1533-position model. Lineage: Bacteria; Pseudomonadati; Verrucomicrobiota. The record is from RNAcentral.